UACGUAGGGGGCUAGCGUUGUCCGGAAUCAUUGGGCGUAAAGCGCGUGUAGGCGGCUCGGAAAGUCGGGUGUGAAAGCCCCCGGCUCAACCGGGGAACGGCGCGGGAAACUAGCAGGCUUGAGUUCGGGAGAGGGAAGCGGAAUUCCGGGUGUAGCGGUGAAAUGCGCAGAUAUCGGGAGGAACACCAGUAGCGAAGGCGGCUCGCUGGGCCACACCUGACGCUGAGACGCGAAAGCUAGGGGAGCAAACGGG
This 253-nucleotide ribosomal RNA is filed under the name uncultured bacterium. RNAcentral's name for it is "partial 16S ribosomal RNA". It matches the Rfam family "Bacterial small subunit ribosomal RNA", at positions 524 to 776 of the family's 1533-position model. The record is from RNAcentral.